This 81-nucleotide transfer RNA is filed under the name Endocarpon pusillum Z07020. RNAcentral's name for it is "tRNA-Leu (CAA) (tRNA-Leu-CAA-1-1)". It matches the Rfam family "tRNA". From Rfam's summary of the family: Transfer RNA (tRNA) molecules are approximately 80 nucleotides in length. Their secondary structure includes four short double-helical elements and three loops (D, anti-codon, and T loops). Further hydrogen bonds mediate the characteristic L-shaped molecular structure. tRNAs have two regions of fundamental functional importance: the anti-codon, which is responsible for specific mRNA codon recognition, and the 3' end, to which the tRNAs corresponding amino acid is attached (by aminoacyl-tRNA synthetases). tRNAs cope with the degeneracy of the genetic code in two manners: having more than one tRNA (with a specific anti-codon) for a particular amino acid; and 'wobble' base-pairing, i.e. permitting non-standard base-pairing at the 3rd anti-codon position. The record is from RNAcentral. Lineage: Eukaryota; Fungi; Ascomycota; Eurotiomycetes; Verrucariales; Verrucariaceae.
GGGAGGAUGGCCGAGUGGUUAAGGCGCUUGACUCAAGUUCAAGUGGAGAGAUCCGCGUGGGUUCGAGUCCCACUCCUCUCA